CAAAACCAUCAACAACCAUGACAACAAUCAGUCUCCGGAAGGGAAACACACGUCUUCCACCGGAAGUUAACCGCGUCCUCUACGUUCGCAACCUUCCCUUCAACAUAACAAGCGAAGAAAUGUACGAUAUAUUCGGCAAAUACGGUGCUAUUCGUCAGAUCCGAAUCGGAACUAACAAAGACACGCGCGGCACCGCUUUUGUCGUUUACGAAGACAUUUACGACGCUAAAACUGCCGUCGAUCAUCUCUCUGGUUUCAAUGUCGCUAAUCGAUAUCUCAUCGUUCUUUAUUAUCAGCCAAUGUCGCUAUCGAUAUCUCAUCGUUCUUUAUUAUCAGCAUGCUAAGAUGAGUAAGAAGUUUGAUCAGAAGAAGAAGGAAGAUGAAAUUGCUCGUAUGCAGGAGAAGUACGGUGUUACUACUAAAGACAAGUAGUUCAUGAUACGUAAGCGCUUCUUUCGAAAACUCGAUUUAUUUUGCUAAUUUCUAGGGUUUCUUGUGUUAGGGUUUUGUGGUAAUUCACUAUAUAUAACUGUUGAUGGAUGUUUGGAUUCGCAAUUGAAUAGUUUUAUUGAUAUAUCAAUGUAAAGCACGAUUAUGAUGUAUGAUAUUGUUACUUUUCUGCUAGCACUACUUAUUUAAGAAAAAGUGAUUAUUCAAUUUUGAGGACUGGAAUUUAAUUUUUCCUGCAUGAGAUGUUUAUUAGGUUUACUUGAUGCUAAUUUCUUCAAGGGUAAUUAGGUAGUUUCGUUGCUUUGUGAGUUUGUUGUACUAGGAUGUUUGGAUUGUGGAGAUUGCUAAGGGUGAGGUUAUUAAGACAAAUGUUAUAUAAGAGAAUAGAAAUUUACAUAUACACAUUUACAAUUUUUUGAGACAAAAUUAAGAAACAUAAACAAUACAAAAUAUAUAUACAUAACAAAAUAGUAAUCUUUUUUUAUAAAUAAAAUAAAAUAACAAUGAUAGAUUGAAAAAAAUUUACCAUUCAAGUAAUUCGUGUGAACAUAUACUCCAGAAAGUUGCUAGACGCAACACGAACAAAUACAUAGUUUCACCAGGAAUACUCUAUUGCAUAAAGGUCGAUGGAACAAUGUAGGCAAGGGAAGUCGGCAAAAUGGAUCCGUAACCUCGGGAAAAUGAUUGACUUUGACGGCUGGCUAUGGAUUUAAAGAUGUUGUUGUUAGAAAUAGAAAUAUGAAUUUAUUUAAAUAAUAAUUAGUUUUUUCUUGAUUUUGUUUGAAGAUAAUGAUGAAUUUUUUAGAUUUUUAUAAAAAAUAUAUUAUUGACAUUUUAAAAUAUACUUAUUUAAAAUUAAAUAAAUAAUUAAUUAAAAAAUAAAAAUUAUUAUUAAAAUUAAUUUAAAAAAGUGCGAAAGUACUUUGUGGAUAAAAUAAUAAAGACACUUGAGCAAGUCUUCAAUACCAAAGUCUUGCUGGAGAGAAGUUAUAUUGAGUAUUGACUUUGAUUUGACAAUUAAGUUAUAUUUUGAGUGUUUACUUUGAUUUGACAAGUUUUUAUCAGGUUACUUCGCGAGAGAUGUCAUCUUCUCGUAUUUUUUCUCCUUUUUUUUUUCCUUUGAUUUUUAAGAUCCGAAUUUUUUUUUAUUGGACUCGGGUUUUUGGGGUGGCUGGUAGAGUCGCAAUUCAACGCAUAAUUUACUUACCCAUAUCACCCACGCGAAUAACAUAUUAAUUAUUUUUAUUUUUAUUAUUAUUAUUAUUAUUAUAUAAAAAUAUUUGUAUAUAUAUUUAUAUACAACACAAAAGUAUCAAUAAAAAUAUAGAUUUUAUCAUACUAAUAAUAUUUAUAUUACUAAUUUAAAUAUACAAAUAAAAGUUUAAAAAAAUUUAGCUAAAUUAACUAUUUUUAAGUUUUUAGGUGGAAUAAAAAAGUUCCAUAUAUAUAUAUAUAUAUAUAUAUAUAUAUAUAUAUAUAUAUAUAUAUAUAGAGAGAUAAUUAAUUUUUGUUUUGUUUUAAUUCUAUUAAUAUUGUUAAAUCAAAUAAAUAGUUACAUAAAGAUCAAUAUAAUUUUUGGAUAAUUUAAAUUCUUUAAUUUAUUAUUUUUACAAUUUAAUAUUAAGUAACCUUGAAUAUUUUUUUAAUUGUGUUGAAAUAAUAUAGCAUUUUAUUAUUUAACAAUUUAUUUUAAUUAUAAUAUUGGUACAAGGUACGCAAAGGAUUACUAAGUACAUAAAUAAUAAAUAUACGAAGAUUAAGAUUAAUUCUCGUAUAAAUCUGGUGUAUAUGGAGUCAUGUUUUUCAUCAAUAAAUUAGAUUGACCUGUUUUUAAAUUAGAUUUAAGAUUAGAUUUUUUUACUGUAAAUUAUUUUUUUAAUUAAUAAAUUAAUAUAACAAUUUUUUUAUUAAAAUAGUUUCCGUACGAAGCACGGAUUACCUAGUAAUUUAAUAUUAUUUUUUAGAUUUCAAACUUAAUUUUUUAUUUUAAUGAAGACGAUAUAGAGUUAAUUGGCGAUACUUAAAUCCAACUUUUCCAAUUUAAAAGUUCAUCUCCAUACGAGAUUUGUAGGCCCAACCCAAAGCCCAACCCAACAUGAUCUAUAUACAUAAAAGCUCAAACAAUUAAACUGAUUCUUUUCACUUUCUCGCAAGUUCGGAAACCUUUCCUUCACUUUCUCAUCAUCCAAACACCAAAACCAUCAACAACCAUGACAACAAUCAGUCUCCGGAAGGGAAACACACGUCUUCCACCGGAAGUUAACCGCGUCCUCUACGUUCGCAACCUUCCCUUCAACAUAACAAGCGAAGAAAUGUACGAUAUAUUCGGCAAAUACGGUGCUAUUCGUCAGAUCCGAAUCGGAACUAACAAAGACACGCGCGGCACCGCUUUUGUCGUUUACGAAGACAUUUACGACGCUAAAACUGCCGUCGAU
Molecule: long non-coding RNA, 2885 nt
Filed under: Cicer arietinum (chickpea)
Lineage: Eukaryota; Viridiplantae; Streptophyta; Magnoliopsida; Fabales; Fabaceae
Description: long non-coding RNA (CARI_LNC001171)
Source: RNAcentral